This 1047-nucleotide ribosomal RNA is filed under the name Triticum aestivum (bread wheat). RNAcentral's name for it is "partial small subunit ribosomal RNA". Lineage: Eukaryota; Viridiplantae; Streptophyta; Magnoliopsida; Poales; Poaceae. The record is from RNAcentral.
AUGGUGAUGACCAAGAUUAACGAGGCCGCUGCAGGAGGUGCUGUAGUGGACAUGAGUAGGCUUCUGAAGUCAUUCACGUAUGAUAUGGCAUGUCGGAUCGUGUUGGGAGAGUCCUUCCGGAAAGAAGGACAGAGCAAGCUACUUCGAGACCUCAUAGACGAUACCUCACGAAUAUUAGGAGGUUUCAACUUGGAGGAGUACUUCCCAACAUUGGCAAGAGUUGGAGUGCUUAAGAGGGUGGUUUGUGCAAAGGCUGAGAGAGUGAGGCGUAGAUGGGCCUAUUUGCUGGAUAAGUUGAUCGACGAACAUGUGAGCAUGGAAAAAUCAACAGUUGAUAACAAGGAUGGGGAUUUCAUAGAUAUUUUGUUGUCUGUUCAGCAUGAGUAUGGUCUCACAAGAGAGCGAAUGAAAGCUCUCCUAACAGAUGUAUUUUUCGGUUCAACGGACACGUUAUCUAACACUCUCGAAUUCACCUUGGCCGAGUUGAUGAGGAAGCCAUGCCUAUUGGGGAAGCUACAAGAUGAAGUGAGGAGUAUCGUACCCCGUGGACAAGAAAGUAUAACCGAAACCGACAUAAACAAGAUGGCGUACUUAAGAGCAGUCAUGAAGGAGUCACUCCGGGUGUAUCCUGUUGCGCCUAUCCUUGCUCCACACCUUGCCAUGGCUGACUGCAACAUUGAUGGGUAUAUGGUUGCUGCUGGCACACAUGUCUUAGUCAAUGUAUGGGCCAUUGGUAGGGACUCCAGCUCUUGGGGGGAUGCAGAAGAGUUCAUACCUGAAAGAUUUAUAUAUGAAGAUAGUGAUGUGGAUGUCAAUUUCAAGGGGAAUGAUUUCCAGUUCUUGCCAUUUGGGUCAGGACGAAGGAUGUGCCCUGGCAUAAACCUCGCGAUUGCCAAUUUUGAGCUUAUGUUGGCAAACCUCAUGUACCAUUUUGAAUGGGAAUUGCCUCCAGGGGUUGAGACGAAAGACAUUGAUAUGACAGUGGUCUUUGGGCUAACCGUGCGCAGGAAGGAGAAGCUACUAUUAAUUCCAAAAGCAUGCAAGUAG